This 164-nucleotide ribosomal RNA is filed under the name uncultured bacterium. RNAcentral describes it as "partial 16S ribosomal RNA". It matches the Rfam family "Bacterial small subunit ribosomal RNA", at positions 355 to 511 of the family's 1533-position model. The record is from RNAcentral.
UAGGGAAUCUUCCACAAUGGACGAAAGUCUGAUGGAGCAACGCCGCGUGAGUGAAGAAGGGUUUCGGCUCGUAAAGCUCUGUUGUUAAAGAAGAACGUGGGUAAGAGUAACUGUUUACCCAGUGACGGUAUUUAACCAGAAAGUCACGGCUAACUACGUGCCAG